AAAAUGGUGAGAGGGUCGGGGGGGAGUUCCCUACGGGGCUGUGAGACGGCUGGGCGCCCGACCACAC
Molecule: microRNA precursor, 67 nt
Filed under: Marmota monax (woodchuck)
Lineage: Eukaryota; Metazoa; Chordata; Mammalia; Rodentia; Sciuridae
Rfam family: mir-611 microRNA precursor family
Source: RNAcentral